Molecule: ribosomal RNA, 677 nt
Filed under: uncultured Providencia sp.
Lineage: Bacteria; Pseudomonadati; Pseudomonadota; Gammaproteobacteria; Enterobacterales; Morganellaceae
Description: bacterial SSU rRNA
Rfam family: Bacterial small subunit ribosomal RNA
Source: RNAcentral
GUUCCCUUGAGGAGUGGCUUCCGGAGCUAACGCGUUAAAUCGACCGCCUGGGGAGUACGGCCGCAAGGUUAAAACUCAAAUGAAUUGACGGGGGCCCGCACAAGCGGUGGAGCAUGUGGUUUAAUUCGAUGCAACGCGAAGAACCUUACCUACUCUUGACAUCCAGAGAAUUUAGCAGAGAUGCUUUAGUGCCUUCGGGAACUCUGAGACAGGUGCUGCAUGGCUGUCGUCAGCUCGUGUUGUGAAAUGUUGGGUUAAGUCCCGCAACGAGCGCAACCCUUAUCCUUUGUUGCCAGCACAUUAUGGUGGGAACUCAAAGGAGACUGCCGGUGAUAAACCGGAGGAAGGUGGGGAUGACGUUAAGUCAUCAUGGCCCUUACGAGUAGGGCUACACACGUGCUACAAUGGCGUAUACAAAGAGAAGCGACCUCGCGAGAGCAAGCGGAACUCAUAAAGUACGUCGUAGUCCGGAUUGGAGUCUGCAACUCGACUCCAUGAAGUCGGAAUCGCUAGUAAUCGUAGAUCAGAAUGCUACGGUGAAUACGUUCCCGGGCCUCGUACACACCGCCCGUCACACCAUGGGAGUGGGUUGCAAAAGAAGUAGGUAGCUUAACCUUCGGGAGGGCGCUUACCACUUUGUGAUUCAUGACUGGGGUGAAGUCGUAACAAGGUAACCA